AUUGAACGCUGGCGGCAUGCUUUACACAUGCAAGUCGAACGGCAGCACGGGUGCUUGCACCUGGUGGCGAGUGGCGAACGGGUGAGUAAUGCAUCGGAACGUGCCCAUGAGUGGGGGAUAGCCCGGCGAAAGCCGGAUUAAUACCGCAUACGCCCUUAGGGGGAAAGCGGGGGAUCUUCGGACCUCGCGCUAUUGGAGCGGCCGAUGUCGGAUUAGCUAGUAGGUGAGGUAAAGGCUCACCUAGGCGACGAUCCGUAGCUGGUCUGAGAGGAUGAUCAGCCACACUGGGACUGAGACACGGCCCAGACUCCUACGGGAGGCAGCAGUGGGGAAUUUUGGACAAUGGGCGCAAGCCUGAUCCAGCCAUGCCGCGUGAGUGAAGAAGGCCUCGGUUGUAAGGACUCUUCUAGUGGAAGAAAUAAGUAGCUGUUAAUAGUAUGGCGUUGAUGACGGUA
RNAcentral lists this ribosomal RNA (455 nucleotides) under uncultured bacterium. RNAcentral's name for it is "bacterial SSU rRNA". It matches the Rfam family "Bacterial small subunit ribosomal RNA", at positions 30 to 477 of the family's 1533-position model. The record is from RNAcentral.